UGUAUGGGCGCGCCUACACAACACCUUUGGGCGCGCUUGUUACACUGAGCCUCGCACACGCCGCUCGUCGUCCUGGGAAAGACGUGCCGGCCGACGCCGAGGCUCCGAAGUCAACUUCGAAAAAGGCCUCGUACUUUGCCGAGGUUCCCGCAAGCGGAAAUCCGAGCUGGCUGAUCAGCUGCGGGUUAAGCGGCUGCUUCUGUGCCCGAUGGAGUCUUCGCGUCAUGGACAGAGGAGGUUUGUCGGAGGAAGCGGUGGCGGAUGCCUGUAAGGACGGAGACCCCGCCACCAAGGACUACAUGAUGCAGCAGACCAUGCUGAGGGUCAAAGAUCCCGCUCGCUCCCUUGACUUCUACACACGAAUCCUCGGAAUGACAUUGCUGCAGAAGAUCGACUUCCCGUCGGUACACUUCAGCCUUUAUUUCCUAGGCUUCGAGAACAAGGCCGAUAUUCCUACCGAUAUCCGGGAGAGGACGGCUUGGACGUUUUCCCGCCGAGCUACCUUGGAGCUUACCCAUAACUGGGGCUCAGAGUCGGACGCCAGCUUGACUUACCACAACGGAAACAGCGACCCCAUCGGCUUUGGUCACAUUGGCAUCGCUGUACCAGACGUUGGCAUCGCUUGUCACUUGUUUCAAUCUCUGGGCGUCACCUUCAUCAAGAAGCCGCAUUCUGGCAAGAGGAAAGGGCUGGCCUUCAUUCAAGAUCCCGACGGCUACUGGAUCGAGAUCUUCACUCCGGACACGAUGGCGACCUUGAUGGCGCCUUGACGCUGAUCCUCGGGCGUGUGCGCACAGAUGCAUUACUGUGUAAAAAUAGUGUACCUAAUGAAGUGUCCAAGAAGCACGUCACAAACAAAACAGCCAAUCAGGAGGUGGGGAUGAGGAGGUCUUUUUUCCGUUUCACCGAGAAAGCUCAAUACUGACAAAUAGAUACUCGUGGAUUAAAAUGCCCUUGUUGUAUUUGAAAAAGCCUUGUGAGAACUGUCAGACAUUAUUAAAUCAAGGAGUUUGACUGUA
This is an RNA transcript of Syngnathus acus (greater pipefish), 1019 nucleotides long. It is a transcript of the gene named lactoylglutathione lyase-like, with no coding region annotated. NCBI's taxonomy places the organism in Eukaryota, Metazoa, Chordata, Actinopteri, Syngnathiformes, Syngnathidae. The transcript is spliced from 7 exons. The record is from RefSeq and is a predicted model, not a curated record.